AUCAACAGCCCCGGGGCGAAGGGGCCGCAGCUCUUGUGGUUUUGCGCAAACCCAGACCCCCCCACCCCCCGCCCCGAAAGCCGGGGGGGGAACACGAGGGGGAGGGAGGGAAGGGGAGGGGAAGAGGGAACCAUCCUCAAACCACUGCCGAGACCUCGGCCGAGGGGGGCCGAAGCCCCGCCGGGGAGAACCUGGGCGGAGGAACUCCCCGGGCCGCCGGUGCCCGCCCGCCCCGCCGGGGCUCUGCCCGCUCCCCCGGGAGGCAACGGCGGGGCAGCGGGGCCGCAGCACGGCUCGGCGGGGUGGCAGAUCCCCGUUCUGCCCCUUGGCUCGGCUUUCCCUCUUCCCAGGGAACAGGAGUCUUUGCUGGAGCUGCGCUCCCGGGGGCCGGGGUCGAUUUUUUCGUUUGUUUGCUUUUCACCUCCUGCCGCCGCCCUCCCUCCUUUUGCCCCGCACCGGCGGCCCCGAGGGCGGGCGGCGGUGGCGAAGCAGAGCGCUGCCGCCCGCCUCCUGCCCCCGGCGAGCCCCGGGCACGAAAAGGAGCAGUCAGUGGGGCCGAAACGGGGGCGAGCGAGAGGGAUGCCAGGGCUCUUUCCCCUCCCCGAGGUGAGGGACGGAGGCAGUGGGUCCGUGUCCCCCGGCGGCCCGUGCCCUUGGUUCCCACGGGUGCAGGAGGUGCGCAUCCCCCGGGGAGACGCGGGGCGGCGGCAGCUCCGUGCCCCCCCCGCGGGGCGCCGCUUGUACCGCAGAGGUGCGGGCUGGAGCCCGGGGCCCGGUGGGCUAUCGGGAAACGCCGUCUCCAGCCCCGCACCGACGAGCUGCCAGUCCGGGGCGACCCCUAAACAUCUAAAUCACCCCCAGACCCCCGGCCCAGUGGCGCUGAAGCAAAACCAACCAAAAGCCCUCGAAGCUCGGCACCCCCAAAUGGAAGCAGAAAACCCCAAACCGAGCGAGCCAGCGGCACCACCACCGAGCAGUCCCGAAACGGCAGGGAGAGCCGCACCGGCAUUUCCAGCCCGCGGCCGGCCGCAGGGGGCCAGGCUGCUGGUCCCCAAUUUCUUCGAAUUUAAGCCGAUUCCCCGGCUGACAAGGGGACCGGGCUGGGGUUGA
This 1110-nucleotide long non-coding RNA is filed under the name Anas platyrhynchos platyrhynchos (common mallard). Its description in RNAcentral is "lncRNA (ENSAPLG00000019119.1)". The record is from RNAcentral. Lineage: Eukaryota; Metazoa; Chordata; Aves; Anseriformes; Anatidae.